AACGCACAUUGCGCCCCUUGGUAUUCCGAGGGGCAUGCCUGUUCGAGCGUCAUUUCACCAAUCAAGCCCCGCUUGGUAUUAGGCGAUCCAGGCCCGCGCCAGCCGCGGGCCCGCCCGAAAUGCAUCGGCGAGGACACCGACCCCCGGCGUGUUAGAUUUUCUGACGUCGGGAGCACCGGUUGGCCUCCGCCGCGCGACCUUUCAAUUUAUCAAGGUUGACCUCGGAUCAGGUAGGAAUACCCGCUGAACUUAA
Molecule: unclassified non-coding RNA, 253 nt
Filed under: uncultured fungus
Lineage: Eukaryota; Fungi
Description: partial contains 5.8S ribosomal RNA, internal transcribed spacer 2, and large subunit ribosomal RNA
Rfam family: 5.8S ribosomal RNA (bases 1-52)
Source: RNAcentral